Molecule: transfer RNA, 55 nt
Filed under: Aspidoscelis hyperythrus
Lineage: Eukaryota; Metazoa; Chordata; Lepidosauria; Squamata; Teiidae
Description: partial tRNA-Glu
Source: RNAcentral
CUAAUUCCAAGACCAGCAAUCGGAAAACUGCGGUUGUAGUUCAACUAUAAAACCA